This 125-nucleotide transfer RNA is filed under the name Aureobasidium namibiae CBS 147.97. It matches the Rfam family "tRNA". Rfam says of the family: Transfer RNA (tRNA) molecules are approximately 80 nucleotides in length. Lineage: Eukaryota; Fungi; Ascomycota; Dothideomycetes; Dothideales; Saccotheciaceae. The record is from Rfam by way of RNAcentral.
GCCGUUGUGGCCGAGUGGUCUAAGGCGGUGGUUUUAAGUUUACGAAUCAGAUACAAGCGUUCUGCUUUCGGAUUACAUAAACACCACUAUCGAGAGAUGCGUGGGUUCGAACCCCAUCGGCGGCA